Molecule: long non-coding RNA, 2825 nt
Organism: Triticum dicoccoides
Lineage: Eukaryota; Viridiplantae; Streptophyta; Magnoliopsida; Poales; Poaceae
Exons: 4
Source: RefSeq, a predicted model, not a curated record
UCCAGAUCGAGAGGGAUCUCGUCUCCUUCCUUCCUCCAGCUCCCUCCAGAUCGAGAAAGAGAUCGCCGCCGCCACCUCCCUCCAGCGGAGCUCGCCGUCGUCCAUGGCCUCCCCCACACCCUCCUGCUCCACCCGCUCCUCCUCCCUCCACGCCUACCGCACACCAUUGCCGAUUUCCCAAACCAGACCGCCUCCCCGGUUCAUUCCUUCCCCCCCUCCCACCCACCCGUCUCGGCGCCGCCACCCAACUCGCCAACGACCUUACGCAUCGCCGCCGACCUACGCUCACACCCGCUGCCCCACCCUCUCCACCUCCCCUUCUCCCCCUACCCCGGUAGCACCCAGGCCAACAACACAUGCAGCGGCAAGAUCCACGAUCCAGCAAGCUGGCCUAUGCCUCACCGGAGGCGCACACGCAGAGUGAGGUGGGCUGCCUGCGUGCACACGCCAUGGACCUCCGUCACGGGACGCCAACACGUCUUGUCUGCCCGGCCGCAUCACCAAACGGUUGCCUGCCUGCUCCCUGCCGACGCCAUCCCGUGCUUGGGACGCCGCGCCUACCACGCCCCGACGUCCCUCCUCCCUCUCCCCUGCAUCGGCCUCGUCGUCCGUCCCCGAGAUGGAGAGUGUGCUCAAGGAUGAUGCCAUCCAGGAGAAGGGUGAAUGUGCUAGGGUGGUAACCAGCCCCCUCCCAUCUGAUCUGCUUGUUUUCCUUCUUGGUCUGACUGGGUUGGUUCAUUCGUCAGUUGGUUGGAUGGCGCUGCUACAACUGUGUGCAAUUAGUAUAUAGUGAUCUCACUUAGACUACAAAAUCCAUAUAUUUUCCUGAUCUUUGUAUAGGUGGUAUGAUUAUAACUGAACCAUAUGUUCUGUUUUAUAAUAUAUAACUGAAUCAUGAGUUUGUUUCAUAUUUUAACCUACAUGAAAGGAAGUGUGAUUGUUGACGAUGGUUAUUGUUGCUGAAUCCAUAUCCUGGUUCAGACUUAUAUUUUGCUAUUCUUAGGUGGCGGGCUUAUACGGCAUCGCGAGCAGGAGGGCCAUGAGGGGUUUGCUGCUCUUCUCCUAGGGCGACCAAGAGGUCCUGCCCCGAGCUCAUGCACGUCCACGCCGACCCACCACAACAGCGAAGUGUGGCUGGACGAUCGAGGCUGCUAUUCUGCCUUGAUCUGCACACAAAGAGUUCCUAGACCUGACUUGAAGCAAGGAUACCUACGGCUGCAAGCCAACAAUAUCUGAAGACGGGUGCUGCUUGCCUAUGUUCUCAGCAUAACUAUAGGCUGCCAUGUCUUUUCCACUUUCCUUUUCGCUUUAUGUAAUGCUAACUUGACGGUCAGCCUAUAGUUAUGCGAAGAACAUCGGCAAGCAGCACCUGUCUUCAGACAUACACUGCCAUGUCUUGUUCCAUUAAUCACCUAGUCCUCCUGUUAGUGACAUUCAUCUAGUAUUUUAUUUUGCAAAGCAUGCAAUGGUUUGGAGUACUUGAUCAUGGCCUGAUGGAACCUACAUGUCGUGGUUUACACAUUUACACAUUCAUGGUUUCCUCUGCUGUUUGUAAUUGUUCUGGUUAACUAUGCUAGUAGAUAUCGCGUGGGAUCUGUAGCUAGUGUCUGUUGUGCAUGUCCUCUUUGACGAGUUCAUUCUUUGAAAAAUAUUUCUUGAUAAGUUGCUUUCUUUCCAAAUGCAUACUAUUAUUUCAGAUGCUUUCUAUACUUUAGCUAGUGUCUGUUGUGACAUCUUUCUAUACUUUAGAACUACCACUUAUCAUGUUGCUUAUUUCUGAUGCUUUCUAAGUUGGUAAUAUAUUUCACCAGUACUUGAUUCCUUUUUCAAAUUGUUGUUGCCAUGUGGUUGUCCUUCCCAUUAGUUCAUGUGAAAUUUGGAUUUUAAGAUUAUGGCUUAAUAUGUUGUCUCAUGCUGUUGAUUUCACUUGUGCAGAAUCUAUUGACUAAUCUUGACAAGUUUUGCUCUUCUGACCGCCCGUGCUGCUGCUCUUUGUGCUAAGAGUCCUUGAGUGCUAAAGUGCAUGUCUCGACUUGACUGUGGUUACAAUUAUGGGUUUACUCAAGUUAUACCAAGGGCAGUAAACCAUACAGUGCUCCUUUGUUUGUACUUGCUAGUAUUAAAUUUACGCUCCUUGGAAAGUGCUGGGAUUAGAUAUACCAAGUAGCAACCAGACAAGGCUAAAGUAUAGCUGAUCAGGCUUGCACUGCCCUGAGUGAUGCAAACCUAUAGUGGUUCUUUUAUAGUUCCUUAAUCUACUGACCGAUUUCUAGUAAAGCUAAUAUACACAUUUGCUGGCUCUGUUAAUGGCUAUUUUAUCAGAAUGGUGCCUGUGUACUUUUGUAAUUUGGUGGUUGUUCUAACAUUUGUUAUCAACUCAUGUCAUAUACUAAUGUCAUCACUUUAAUUCAUGGGUUCACAUUAGAAGAUAAUCAUGGUUUUGUUGUAUCACCAUAUUUACCAGGUCCACGAUGGCGUCUGGCCUGUCGAGUCCUUCUGCAGCCGCUGCAGCUACUCCUUCCACAGCUUGGGUGGGACUCGUCGGAUUGGCCUCCUCAUUUCCCAUUUCGGGGCGGCUAGUGAUGCAGCAAACUAAGCAGUAGCAGGCACACCAAGCAGUAGCAGGGGGAGGGUAUCUCUCGAACGUCGCCGCUGCCACUCAUUGCUUCUGUCACUGAUUAAUUAUGGAUGAUCGCUAUUAGUUUAGCUCCUUGGUACUCCCCCCUCUCUCGCAAGCGUGUAGAAAUAGAUAUGGUAGCUGUAGUCCCAUGUAGCUGUAGUUCCUGUACUCGGUCUGCCCUUGGUUGCUUCAUUUCUAUGUUAAU